Molecule: ribosomal RNA, 463 nt
Filed under: uncultured bacterium
Lineage: Bacteria
Description: partial 16S ribosomal RNA
Rfam family: Bacterial small subunit ribosomal RNA
Source: RNAcentral
GACGAACGCUGGCGGCGUGCUUAACACAUGCAAGUCGAACGGUGAACCUCUUCGGAGGGGAUCAGUGGCGAACGGGUGAGUAACACGUGGGCAACCUGCCCCCGGCUCUGGGAUAACUCCAAGAAAUUGGGGCUAAUACCGGAUGUUCACCGCUUCCCGCAUGGGUGGUGGUGCAAAGGGUUUCCGGCUGGGGAUGGGCCCGCGGCCUAUCAGCUUGUUGGUGGGGUAGUGGCCUACCAAGGCGACGACGGGUAGCCGGCCUGAGAGGGUGACCGGCCACCCUGGGACUGAGAGACGGCCCAGACUGCUACGGGAGGCAGCAGUGGGGAAUAUUGCGCAAUGGGCGGAAGCCUGACGCAGCGACGCCGCGUGGGGGAUGACGGCCUUCGGGUUGUAAACCUCUUUCAGCAGGGACGAAGCGCAAGUGACGGUACCUGCAGAAGAAGCACCGGCCAACUACGCG